UAUCUUAGUGGCGGACGGGUGAGUAACGCGUGGGUAACCUGCCUUACACUGGGGGAUAACACUUAGAAAUAGGUGCUAAUACCGCAUAACAGGGAAAGAUGCAUGUCUUUUCCUUGAAAACUCCGGUGGUGUAAGAUGGACCCGCGUCUGAUUAGCUGGUUGGCGGGGUAACGGCCCACCAAGGCGACGAUCAGUAGCCGGCCUGAGAGGGUGAACGGCCACAUUGGGACUGAGACACGGCCCAAACUCCUACGGGAGGCAGCAG
Molecule: ribosomal RNA, 265 nt
Filed under: uncultured bacterium
Lineage: Bacteria
Description: partial 16S ribosomal RNA
Rfam family: Bacterial small subunit ribosomal RNA
Source: RNAcentral